CGCACCCUUCGGGGUGAGUGGCGGACGGGUGAGUAGCGCGUGGGAACCUGCCCCGAGCACCGGGACAACCGCGGGAAACUGCGGCUAAUACCGGAUGAUGCCAUCCGCGAGGGUGGCCAAAGUCCUGAUCUUCGGAUUGGGGCGGCGUGGGAGGGGCCCGCGUCCGAUUAGCUGGUUGGUGGGGUAACGGCCCACCAAGGCUGUGAUCGGUAGCUGGUCUGAGAGGACGAUCAGCCACACUGGGACUGAGACACGGCCCAGACUCCUACGGGAGGCAGCAGUGGGGAAUCUUGGACAAUGGGGGCAACCCUGAUCCAGCGACGCCGCGUGGGUGAUGAAGGCCUUCGGG
RNAcentral lists this ribosomal RNA (349 nucleotides) under uncultured bacterium. RNAcentral describes it as "bacterial SSU rRNA". It matches the Rfam family "Bacterial small subunit ribosomal RNA", at positions 67 to 422 of the family's 1533-position model. The record is from RNAcentral.